RNAcentral lists this ribosomal RNA (666 nucleotides) under Triticum aestivum (bread wheat). Its description in RNAcentral is "partial small subunit ribosomal RNA". The record is from RNAcentral. Lineage: Eukaryota; Viridiplantae; Streptophyta; Magnoliopsida; Poales; Poaceae.
GGAAGCAAGUGGAAACCAACUGUUUGUGUGGUCCUUGUGGAGCUCUUCAACACAGGAACUAUACUGCUAGGCAAGGUAGCAGUUGAUAGCGGCAUGUUUGUAUUCUCAUUGCUUUGUUAUAGAAGCAUUCUGGGUGCCAUUUUUAUCUUGCCAUUUGCCCUGCUCCUCGAAAGUGGGAAGUGGAAAGAAUUGGAUAAGAAGGCUCUUGGUUGGCUCUUCAUCAAUGCUUUUGUCGGGUACUCGUUGCCUAUGGCCAUGUAUUACUAUGGGCUACAUGACACAACUGCUUCCUAUGGUGUGAUCUUCUCCAGUUUGACUCCGCUCUUCACUUUUGUCUUGUCAAUAUUGCUUGGCAUGGAGACCUUGCACCUCAAAUCCAAGGAGGGUAGCGCGAAGGUGGUUGGUGCAUUGGUAUGCUUUGGAGGGGCUUUAUUAAUAAGCCUAUACAAUGGGAAGGAACUGCAUCUCUGGUCUCCAGUUAUAAAAGGUAUCACUAAGAGUUCUAAUGGAGUAGCCGGAGGACACCACCAUUUGAGAGGCACCUUACUUUUGUUGGGUGAUUGCAUAUGCUAUGCAUUUUGGUACCCCAUACAGGUGAAAGUUCUAAAGGUGUAUCCAUGGAAACAUUGGUCAUCAGUGUUGACCUGUGUUCUAGGUGGUUUGUAA